This 695-nucleotide long non-coding RNA is filed under the name Olea europaea (common olive). Its description in RNAcentral is "long non-coding RNA (OEUR_LNC011203)". Lineage: Eukaryota; Viridiplantae; Streptophyta; Magnoliopsida; Lamiales; Oleaceae. The record is from RNAcentral.
UUUUCUCCAUCAUAUAUUUUCUUUUAGUAAAACGAAGUCAUAAGUCAUACUAUUUGUUUAUUUUGAAGUCGGAAAACAUGCAGAUAAUUUGCAUCCAUUUGAAAUUAUUUUCAAAUCAUACACGUGCUCAUAUUCAUCAAGGUGGAUAUUUUGAGAAAAGGAUUUGGAACAUGCAGUCAUAUUUUUCUCUUCCAAAAAAUUCAUUUGAUCUAUCAAGGUGGGAUAACGGAGUGCCGUUGUUUUUAUCUCGUUUAAAUUAUUUUUCUAUGUUAUUGAAUUAUUAUAUUUAUGAAAGUUAAAGAAUGAUAUGAUAUGGUCAUUCAGUACCAAAGAUAUGAUAUGUAAUGAGCUUUCACCGGUCUCUAAAAAUAUGAUGAUGAUAUGAUAUUUUUUACGCAUGAUUUAAAUAUUUUUCUUUAGGAUUAUACCAUUAUUUUCGUGUUCUACUAAGUAUUCUCAUAUACUUACCAUUUUUCCCAACUUCUCACAGUUUAGAACAGGUCGUUGGUUGGCGGACGAUAAGGUCCAGUCGUGGUGCCAGGAUUUUUGGAACUCAAUAAAAAUAAUCCUAUGUAAUUUGACUAUGGAUUUAUUUUCAGCAUUAUUUUGGUUUUAUUAAAAUGUGGAUCUUGUUAUUUAGGAUUUGGAACAUAUUUUAAUUGGUUGUGUUUCCUAUAUGUUUAUUUAAUAUUGGC